This 434-nucleotide ribosomal RNA is filed under the name uncultured Anaerosporobacter sp. RNAcentral's name for it is "partial 16S ribosomal RNA". It matches the Rfam family "Bacterial small subunit ribosomal RNA", at positions 341 to 792 of the family's 1533-position model. The record is from RNAcentral. Lineage: Bacteria; Bacillati; Bacillota; Clostridia; Lachnospirales; Lachnospiraceae.
ACGGAAGGCAGCAGUGGGGAAUAUUGGACAAUGGGGGAAACCCUGAUCCAGCGACGCCGCGUGAGUGAAGAAGUAUUUCGGUAUGUAAAGCUCUAUCAGCAGGGAAGAUAAUGACGGUACCUGACUAAGAAGCCCCGGCUAACUACGUGCCAGCAGCCGCGGUAAUACGUAGGGGGCAAGCGUUAUCCGGAUUUACUGGGUGUAAAGGGAGCGUAGACGGUAAUGCAAGUCAGAAGUGAAAGCCCAAGGCUCAACCAUGGGACUGCUUUUGAAACUGUAAUACUAGAGUGCAGGAGAGGUAAGUGGAAUUCCUAGUGUAGCGGUGAAAUGCGUAGAUAUUAGGAGGAACACCAGUGGCGAAGGCGGCUUACUGGACUGUAACUGACGUUGAGGCUCGAAAGCGUGGGGAGCAAACAGGAUUAGAUACCCUGGUA